Molecule: ribosomal RNA, 253 nt
Filed under: uncultured bacterium
Lineage: Bacteria
Description: partial 16S ribosomal RNA
Rfam family: Bacterial small subunit ribosomal RNA
Source: RNAcentral
UACGUAGGGGGCAAGCGUUGUCCGGAAUCAUUGGGCGUAAAGCGCGCGUAGGUGGUCAUGUAAGUCCGCUGUGAAAGUCAAAGGCUCAACCUUUGAAAGCCGGUGGAUACUGCAUGACUAGAGUACGGAAGAGGCGAGUGGAAUUCCUGGUGUAGCGGUGGAAUGCGCAGAUAUCAGGAGGAACACCAAUAGCGAAGGCAGCUCGCUGGGACGUUACUGACACUGAGGCGCGAAAGCGUGGGGAGCAAACGGG